This 200-nucleotide long non-coding RNA is filed under the name Elaeis guineensis (African oil palm). RNAcentral's name for it is "long non-coding RNA (EGUI_LNC024949)". The record is from RNAcentral. Lineage: Eukaryota; Viridiplantae; Streptophyta; Magnoliopsida; Arecales; Arecaceae.
AUCCCCAUAUCCUAAGGCAUGCCUGCUUCUCAUUGAUGGGCAAAUAUGGGAGUUCAGCUAGAAUGCUAGAUCCCACCUCCGUCAUGGACUAUAUCCACUCUGACCAAAGAUUUGCUCAGAGAAGUCUCCUACGGCAAUAAAAAUUUCACUUUGUAAUGUCGCCUCUCGUCUUUUCGAGUCUUCCGUCUCAUGUCUGAUCC